Molecule: ribosomal RNA, 253 nt
Filed under: uncultured bacterium
Lineage: Bacteria
Description: partial 16S ribosomal RNA
Rfam family: Bacterial small subunit ribosomal RNA
Source: RNAcentral
UGCCAACGGGGCUAGCGGUGUUCGGAAUUACUGGGCGUAAAGCGCACGUAGGCGGAUUGACACGUUGGGUGUGAAAUCCCGGGGCUCAACCUCGGAACUGCCUUCAAAACUGUCUAUCUUGAGGUCAGGAGAGGUUAGCGGAAUACCGAGUGGAGAGGUGAAAUUCGUUGAUAUUCGGUGGAACACCAGUGGCGAAAGCGGCUAACUGGACUGAUACUGACGCUGAGGUGCGAAAGUGUGGGUAGCAAACAGG